This 407-nucleotide ribosomal RNA is filed under the name uncultured bacterium. RNAcentral describes it as "partial 16S ribosomal RNA". It matches the Rfam family "Bacterial small subunit ribosomal RNA", at positions 28 to 526 of the family's 1533-position model. The record is from RNAcentral.
GACGAACGCUGGCGGCGUGCCUAAUACAUGCAAGUAGGACGCAGUUGCGAACGGGUGAGUAACGCGUAGGUAACUACCUAUUAGAGGGGGAUAACUAUUGGAAACGAUAGCUAAUACCGCAUACUAGUAGAUGGACCUGCGUUGUAUUAGCUAGUCGGUAGGGUAAUGGCCUACCUAGGCAACGGUACAUACCCGACCUGGGGAGGAGAUCGGCCAAAAUGGGAAUGGGACAAGGCCCAGACUCCUACGGGGGGCAGCAGGAGGGAAACUUCGGCAAUGGGGGGAAACCUGAACGAGCAACGCCGCGUGAGGGAAGAAGGUUUUCGGAGCGUAAAGCUCUGUUGUUAAGGAAGCGGUACUUAACCAGAAAGGGACGGCUAACUACGUGCCAGCAGCCGCGGUAAUUC